RNAcentral lists this ribosomal RNA (1230 nucleotides) under Triticum aestivum (bread wheat). RNAcentral's name for it is "partial small subunit ribosomal RNA". The record is from RNAcentral. Lineage: Eukaryota; Viridiplantae; Streptophyta; Magnoliopsida; Poales; Poaceae.
AUGGGAAACUUUUGUGUGUGCAUGGGCGGCUCCGCCAAGUGCGCCAGCGCCUCCACUCCCUUCCAAUCAAAGGUGAACCCGAGGAGCAGCACCUCCAACUCCAACUCGAAGGCGUCGCGCCGGAGCAGCUCCGGCCCGGACAAGCCGCCGCAGCCGGCGGAGGCGCCGACGGCGGCGGGGGAGGCGCAGGCGGUGCCGCCGGCGUCGCUCAAGUCGUUCAGCAUGGCGGACCUGCGGGCGGCCACCAAGAACUUCGGCUCCGCGUCCUACCUCGGGGAGGGCGGGUUCGGGUGCGUGUACAAGGGGUGGAUCGACGAGACCACGCUCGCCCCCGCCAGGCCCGGCGCCACCAACGCCAUGAUGGUGGCCAUCAAGAAGCUCAAGAAGGAGAGCUUCCAGGGCCACAGGGAGUGGCUCACCGAGGUCACCUACCUCGGCGACCUCCACCACGACAACCUCGUCAAGCUCGUCGGCUACUGCUCCGACUCCGACAGCAACAAGCUGCUGGUCUACGAGUACAUGCCCCGCGGCAGCCUCGAGAACCACCUGUUCCGGCGGGGCAGCCAGCCGCCGCUGCCGUGGUCCACGCGCUUGUCCGUCGCCGUCGACGUCGCCCGCGGCCUCGCCUUCCUCCACUCCCGCGACGUCAUCUUCCGGGACCUCAAGUCCUCCAACGUGCUGCUCGGCCCCGACCACCGCGCCAAGCUCUCCGACUUCGGCCUCGCCCGGGCCGGCCCCACCGGCGGCAAGACCCACGUCUCCACCCGCGUCGUCGGCACGCGCGGGUACGCCGCGCCGGAGUACGUCGCCACGGGCCACCUCUCGGCCAAGAGCGACGUCUACGGCUUCGGGGUGGUGCUCCUGGAGCUCAUGACCGGGCGGCGCGCGCUCGACGAGGCCCGCGGGGUGGCGUCGGAGCUGCUGGUGGACUGGGCGAUGCCGAUGCUGCAGGGGGAGCGGCGCAAGGUGAUACGGGUCAUGGACACCAGGCUCGGCGGGCAGUACCCCAAGAGGCAGGCGCAGGACAUGGCCGCGCUCGCGCUCCGCUGCCUCCAGAACGACCCUAAGAGCCGCCCCUCCAUGGCCGACGACGUCCUACCCUCCCUCGAGCUCCUGCUGCAGCCAAGCGCCGCCAAGUCCUUCUCCUCCUCCUCGACGACGACGACGUCGAGAUCGCCGGCCGCGUCGGCGGCGCUGGUGCACAGAGGCCACCGUCGAAACAAAGCCUAG